This 467-nucleotide ribosomal RNA is filed under the name uncultured Comamonadaceae bacterium. RNAcentral's name for it is "bacterial SSU rRNA". It matches the Rfam family "Bacterial small subunit ribosomal RNA", at positions 337 to 796 of the family's 1533-position model. The record is from RNAcentral. Lineage: Bacteria; Pseudomonadati; Pseudomonadota; Betaproteobacteria; Burkholderiales; Comamonadaceae.
UCCUACGGGAGGCAGCAGUGGGGAAUUUUGGACAAUGGGGGCAACCCUGAUCCAGCCAUGCCGCGUGCGGGAAGAAGGCCUUCGGGUUGUAAACCGCUUUUGUCAGGGAAGAAAUCCUUUGGGUUAAUACCUCGGAGGGAUGACGGUACCUGAAGAAUAAGCACCGGCUAACUACGUGCCAGCAGCCGCGGUAAUACGUAGGGUGCGAGCGUUAAUCGGAAUUACUGGGCGUAAAGCGUGCGCAGGCGGUUUUGUAAGAUCGAUGUGAAAUCCCCGGGCUCAACCUGGGAACUGCAUUGGUGACUGCAAGGCUGGAGUGCGGCAGAGGGGGAUGGAAUUCCGCGUGUAGCAGUGAAAUGCGUAGAUAUGCGGAGGAACACCGAUGGCGAAGGCAAUCCCCUGGGCCUGCACUGACGCUCAUGCACGAAAGCGUGGGGAGCAAACAGGAUUAGAUACCCUAGUAGUCC